RNAcentral lists this long non-coding RNA (376 nucleotides) under Salvia miltiorrhiza (redroot sage). RNAcentral describes it as "long non-coding RNA (SMIL_LNC000273)". Lineage: Eukaryota; Viridiplantae; Streptophyta; Magnoliopsida; Lamiales; Lamiaceae. The record is from RNAcentral.
UAAUUUAGUAAAUUUAAUUAUAGUUUGAAUUAGGAUUCAAAUCCCCUAAAUUGAUAUAGGGUUUUAGGGUACCUCUGUGCCUCAGAGUUGUACAUUGCUACACACACACGCAAAGACACAUAGUAGAGAAUAGAACUAACUAACUGAAAAAGAAAAAGCAAGUUGCGGUUGAAUUCUUAAGCUGCCUCUAAAAAUAUUCAAAAAUGUCUUCUCCGAAUAUGUUGUUUGAAUCUCCUUCUCCAAAGAAACGACAUCGUUCGACUUCACAGUCGCUGUUGCUGGUCUAUCUGGACCAUCAGCCAGCAACCUUGUUCAUAUCUUAUACUCUCUCCGUCCCUGAAAUAAGUUCCUCUUUUUUCAUUUUGGGACGUCCCCC